GCAGCGUGGCCGCGCACUUCAGGUCCCAGCCCCCGGCGCUUCCCUGCCUUCACGUUCAGCUGGCGGUAGAGGCACUGGGCCCUUCUCGGGCUUCCUCUGCUCGGCGGAGAGUCACACCUGCCGUGCCGCUCCUGUUUUUGUGAACGUGUGCAUUUUGGAUUACGCAUAUGUGAACUGCCUGCACGUUCUGGGGGAGCCCACCACUGCGUCACUGGACGUGGGUGUGCUGGUCCGGGGGACAGGUGGUGGGCGACCAGCCACAGCUGGCUGCGGGACCAGCCAUCAGGCAAAUUAGGGAUGAGUGUAUCAUGCUCAUUGGUGCUCGUUUCUUUCACGUAUGGAGCCACAGAACCCUCAAAGCCAGGACGAUGUGGGUCCCAGGGCACUGGCGUCCCUGAGAUGCCAUGUCUGUGGAACAUGCAGGAGUAGGUCCAGCCUACUGGGGUCUCCCUGCACACCCAGCCUCUACUUGGACGUCUCUUAUUUUGCCUCCUGGCAUCCUCGGAUCCUUCCUUCGGUAACAGGGUCCUGGGUCUUCCUCCGGGAACCUCCCACCCCGCAGGCUGCAUCUGUGGCCCGGAAGGUGCUGGCUCCACCCCUCGCUCUACAGGGCCAACGACCUGGACUGGCCAGUGAGCAGGUUCUUCCCCCAGCCGGGUCGGUGGGUCAGAGUGAGCAGGUGACCCAUGGGGCCCGGGGGAGGUGUGGGGGGAACAAGCUUCCCUGGCACUGGCUGGGGCUCUCCCAGAAAGCAUGAGACAAGGGCCUAUGUGUUUGUAGCUUACUGGGAGGCAAUCCCAGAAAGCACCAGGGGUGUGUGUGUUUUGUGUGUGUUUAAGUUCACAUGUGUGUAUGUGUACAUGUGUGCAUAUGUGCAUGUUUGUGUGUGCAUGUAUGUGUGUACCUGCAUACAUGCACAGGUGCAUAUGUGCACAUACAUGCACACAUGUGUAUAUGUUCACAAUCCAUGCAUGUCUAUGUGUAUAUAUGUGUGAUUUCAUGUGUGUGCAUGAGUAUAUGUACAUGCUCACAUGUAUCUAUGCAUACACACAUGAAGCACAUGUAUGUGCAUGUGCAUUUGCAACUGUGUAAGUAUGUAGAUGUGUACAUGUAUGUGUUCAUGUCUGACGUGUACAGCUCUAUCUGUGCAUGUGUGUACAUGUGUGCAUAUGAGCAUGCUGUGCACGCAUGUGUGUGACGUGUUUACAUGUGUCCAGCUCUGUGCGUGUGUACAUGUGUGCAUAUGAGCAUGCUGUGCACGCGUGUGUGUGACAUGUUUACAUGUGUCCACAUGUAUUUGCAUGUACCUGGGCUUGCAUGUGUAUAAGUAAAUGUUUGGAAGUGUAUUCGUGUGUGUGCAUAUGUGUGUGUGUACAUAUGCAUAUGGGUUUGCUGGCGUGUGUGUGUGUGCGUGCAUGUGUAUAAGUGUGUUUGGAAGUGUAUAUGUGCAUACGUGUGUAUGUACACAUGCAUAUGGGUUUGCUGGCAUGUCUGUGUGCCUGUGUGUGUCUGCGUAUAGAACGCUGGAAGGAUGGAGUUCAGGAUGCACUGCAGGCCACGAACAGCGAAGCGGCUCCCAGGUUGCAAUGUGCCGGUCAGAGCUGGUCAGCAGCACCUCCGGUGCGGGUCCCUGUGGGAGGCCAGUGAUGGCCUCUGCAGACCUCAGGUCCUGAUCUGUGGAGCCUGUGACUGUGGCCUUAGGAGGAAAAACGAGUCAGCAGAUGUGAAUACAUUAAGAAGCUCGAUGUGGAAGAUUGUCCUGGAUCAUCCAGCCAGUCUAGGUUAGCUGCUGCCAUGGCAGUGAAGACGGUCCGGUGGGAUAUGCCGCCUGAACUUCAGCACCGCACGUGGUUCCUGGAGCCCAGGCCAGUGGGAGGUUUGUCAUACAGGUCCCCGGCACCUUCCUACAGGUAAGAGUGUCUUCAGUGAGGGUCGCAGACCAGGCUGGAGUCAGUAGGUCCCCGGGGUACCUGCUGCUGGGCGCCGUCUGCUGGCUCCAGGGUUGUCUGACGCUGAGGCACCUUCUUGGCCCUGUGGCCCCCACGCUCUGGGGCCCACGCGGAGGAUCUGAGCUCAUAGAAACUUGAGGACUUCACCUUGCUACAGAGGCAUCACAGCCCUGACGUCACGCAGCUUUGACAAUCUGCCAGGUGUCUAAUCACAGGGACAGAGCACACCUCAAAGUGGUUUAAGCACAAAAAACAAAAACAAAAACAAAAAACAAAAACAAAAACAAAGAAAAAACAAAGAAACAGGCGACUUGCUAAGAGGAGCUGAGAUGAGAGUGAUGGUAACAGGCCCCAGGCGCAGCGCGGUCCGGGCGUUCCCACGAUGUCUGGAGUCUGCUGUUCUCCCUCUCCUGGCUUUCUUCUUUCUUCUGGGCUGGCUUCGUGCUCUAGCAAGCUCUGGGGCGGUGGUGCAGUCGGCCCAGCAAGCGUUUGAGCCACCCCCAGUGUUGGAGAGGGUGACACCGGGCCCAGUGCGGGGAGAUGGUCCCACGAGGCGUCCGGAGCGGCGUUUUGUCUGGGCGUCCGGAGCGGCGUUUU
Cercocebus atys (sooty mangabey) is the source of this 2546-nucleotide long non-coding RNA. RefSeq lists it as uncharacterized. The record is from RefSeq and is a predicted model, not a curated record. NCBI's taxonomy places the organism in Eukaryota, Metazoa, Chordata, Mammalia, Primates, Cercopithecidae. The transcript is spliced from 3 exons.